Molecule: ribosomal RNA, 373 nt
Filed under: uncultured organism
Description: bacterial SSU rRNA
Rfam family: Bacterial small subunit ribosomal RNA
Source: RNAcentral
CGUAGGGUGCAAGCGUUGUCCGGAAUUAUUGGGCGUAAAGAGCUCGUAGGCGGUCUGUCGCGUCGGCUGUGAAAACUCGGGGCUCAACCCCGAGCCUGCAGUCGAUACGGGCAGACUAGAGUGCGGUAGGGGAGACUGGAAUUCCUGGUGUAGCGGUGAAAUGCGCAGAUAUCAGGAGGAACACCGGUGGCGAAGGCGGGUCUCUGGGCCGUAACUGACGCUGAGGAGCGAAAGCGUGGGGAGCAAACAGGAUUAGAUACCCUGGUAGUCCACGCCGUAAACGGUGGGUGCUAGGUGUAGGCGGUAUUCCACGCCGUCUGUGCCGCAGCUAACGCAUUAAGCACCCCGCCUGGGGAGUACGGCCGCAAGGCUA